CAGUAGCCGCGGUAACACGGAGGAUCCAAGCGUUAUCCGGAUUUAUUGGGUUUAAAGGGUGCGUAGGUGGCCUGUUAAGUCAGGGGUGAAAGACGGUAGCUCAACUAUCGCAGUGCCCUUGAUACUGAUGGGCUUGAAUGAACUAGAGGUAGGCGGAAUGUGACGAGUAGCGGUGAAAUGCAUAGAUAUGUCACAGAACACCAAUUGCGAAGGCAGCUUACUAUGGUUUUAUUGACACUGAGGCACGAAAGCGUGGGGAUCAAACAGGAUUAGAUACCCCAGUAGUCCCUGUCUCUUAUAC
Molecule: ribosomal RNA, 301 nt
Filed under: uncultured bacterium
Lineage: Bacteria
Description: partial 16S ribosomal RNA
Rfam family: Bacterial small subunit ribosomal RNA
Source: RNAcentral